GCUUAUGGCCAUACCAGCCUGGCUAUGCCCGAUCUUGUCUGAUCUCGGAAGCUAAGCAGGUUGGGCCUGGUUAGUGCCUGGAUGGGAGACCGCCUGGGAAUGCCAGGUACUCUAAGCU
This 118-nucleotide ribosomal RNA is filed under the name Carassius auratus (goldfish). Lineage: Eukaryota; Metazoa; Chordata; Actinopteri; Cypriniformes; Cyprinidae. The record is from RNAcentral.